Molecule: ribosomal RNA, 463 nt
Filed under: uncultured bacterium
Lineage: Bacteria
Description: bacterial SSU rRNA
Rfam family: Bacterial small subunit ribosomal RNA
Source: RNAcentral
GGCCGCGGGAAUUCGAUUCAGGCCUAACACAUGCAAGUCGAGCGGUAGAGAGAAGCUUGCUUCUCUUGAGAGCGGCGGACGGGUGAGUAAUGCCUAGGAAUCUGCCUGGUAGUGGGGGAUAACGUUCGGAAACGGACGCUAAUACCGCAUACGUCCUACGGGAGAAAGCAGGGGACCUUCGGGCCUUGCGCUAUCAGAUGAGCCUAGGUCGGAUUAGCUAGUUGGUGAGGUAAUGGCUCACCAAGGCGACGAUCCGUAACUGGUCUGAGAGGAUGAUCAGUCACACUGGAACUGAGACACGGUCCAGACUCCUACGGGAGGCAGCAGUGGGGAAUAUUGGACAAUGGGCGAAAGCCUGAUCCAGAGAUGCCGCGUGUGUGAAGAAGGUCUUCGGAUUGUAAAGAAAUGUAAGUUGGGAGGAAGGGCAGUUACCUAAUACGCGAUUGUUUGACGUACCGACAGA